AAAGGAAUUGACGGGGGCCCGCACAAGCGGUGGAGCAUGUGGUUUAAUUCGAUGCAACGCGAAGAACCUUACCAUCCCUUGACAUGUAGAGAAGUUUCCAGAGAUGGAUUCGUGCCUUCGGGAACUCUAACACAGGUGCUGCAUGGCUGUCGUCAGCUCGUGUCGUGAGAUGUUGGGUUAAGUCCCGCAACGAGCGCAACCCUUAUCAUUAGUUGCUACCAUUUAGUUGAGAACUCUAAUGAGACUGCCGGUGAUAAACCGGAGGAAGGCGGGGACGACGUCAAGUCAUCAUGGCCCUUAUGGGAUGGGCUACACACGUGCUACAAUGGGAAGCACAAAGAGCAGCCAACUGGCAACAGUGCGCGAAUCUCAAAAAACUUCUCGUAGUCCGGAUUGGAGUCUGCAACUCGACUCCAUGAAGUCGGAAUCGCUAGUAAUCGUGGAUCAGAAUGCCGCGGUGAAUACGUUCCCGGGCCUUGUACACACCGCCCGU
This 493-nucleotide ribosomal RNA is filed under the name uncultured bacterium. Its description in RNAcentral is "bacterial SSU rRNA". It matches the Rfam family "Bacterial small subunit ribosomal RNA", at positions 903 to 1397 of the family's 1533-position model. The record is from RNAcentral.